This is a non-coding RNA of Notechis scutatus (mainland tiger snake), 2440 nucleotides long. NCBI's taxonomy places the organism in Eukaryota, Metazoa, Chordata, Lepidosauria, Squamata, Elapidae. The record is from RefSeq and is a predicted model, not a curated record.
GGUUGCUGUCUCAUGCAUUAAGAGCUUAAAACUGCAUAUAAUCCUAGAUUCCAGCCUAGUUCUUUCCCAGGAGUUAAUUCUUGGAGAAUGUUUCAGCAGGAGACCUUUAAGAACAGCUUCUGAUGGAGCUGGUUUGUGGACACUCUGGCGAGAUGGCUUUGAAAGGACCAUUCGUGACAAGGUCCACCAUCCAGGCCUCAUUCAUCCUUCCUCUGUGUUAUGGGAUGGGAUACGCUUCUGCUUGCAGAUAAGGGAAGUGUCUCCUCUAUUGAAUGUGGAUUGUGGAAUAUUCAGAGGUUUUUCUUCUUAUUUUUCAUAGACCUGGAAGAGCGAAGGUUUUUUUGCAUUGUACAAAGGAUUCUGGCCAAACUGGUUAAGGCUUGGGCCUUGGAAUAUAAUUUUCUUUGUGAUGUAUGAACAGCUGAAGAAAUUGGAUUUCUGACAGCCUGAAAAAUUGAAGAGGCCAUGUCUUCCAUUGGUAUAGCACCUCAAGUGCUCUUUCAGAUAUCCAAGUUUGCAGAAUUGGACAAAUUAAAUUGUUGUUGCAAAGAACGUUGAAGUGCUCAAGCAUUACAGAACAGAGUAUAACUUGAGACUGAAACAGUCCUUAGAAUUGGUUCUGAAUUUCAACUUUCAUAACUAUUACGAACAUUUCAGUGUUGACAUGUCUGAAUGGGAGCAAGUGAACUUAAUAAUUAGGUGCAGGGUUUCUUUCAGUCUUCGUUCUCUUAAAAAUAAGCUCUUUCCAACAGCCAAUAAUUCAUGUGUUCACAACCUCAAGAAUCUGUAUUUUACACCAAAGACUAGACUGUGACUAAAGCUUAUUUUAUGAAGCAUCCUAUUGUAUGGAACAGCGUCGCAUAAAUAAUGUGCCAAACAUUAUUUGCAAAACAGCGUUGAACGUCCUUUUUUUCUUGAAACACCUCAGUGGCAUUUCUUCUUUUUUAAAAAAGCAUUACAUUAAUGCUGAAUUAAAUUCAUUACUGUUAGGUUUCAGCACUGUCUUAAAAUAUUUUGCCCUAUCUGAUGAUUUGAGUAGACCUAAUCUCAUAUAGUUUUUAUUUUAAAAAGAUUCCAUUGUGGGCAAUAGACGAACUCUUUGCAUAAACAUUGUUUCAUAAUGCUUUCUGAGAAAGUAUUAAAUGGCUGCCCUUCUCAAGGUUUGGGACAAUAAUAAUAUCAAUCGUUACAAGCGAUGUUGAGGUUGUGAAGGCCCAUUCAUAUAUGGCAAGUUAUGGAAGACAUCUUGUAUGCCUGCCUGAACAGACCUGAUUUUUCUUCCAUUUUCCUGGAUUGCGUCCAGAGAAACCAGCAACACCUUAAGCACAGACAAUUGUUUGUGUUAAGAAGAGAGCACAGAGUCUUCACUUCCCAGAGACUGCCGCCUUGUCUUUCUCCCCCAAAAUAUUUAGAAAUAAAAUUGCCACAGGUGUGGGCCUACGUGGGACCACCGUUUGGGAAAAGCUGCUGCCCGUAUCAGUUUCACCACAUGGAAUUGUUUCAACCAAAUAGGAAUUUUAUGUAUGUUUUAAGUUCUGCAUAAAAGUGAUUUUCAUACAGGAUCGUAAAGUUUGAGUCGGAGGUGAUCAUUCGAGAUCACUCCGUUUUGCUCCAAGAGACCUUUCAUCAGGAGAAGUUGGAUAGACAGCUUGAGAUGUCAGACUAGGCCAAUGUGGUCUCCUUUUGGAAACAGCUUCAUUGAAAUCUGUACACUGACUAGGUCAAACUUACUGAAAACGAAGGUUAACAAUGUGUUUUGUUAUGUUUUUAAAUUCUGAGAGUAUCUUUGUAGAAUAUGAAUAUAAUGAUAGUUUGUAAGUCGUAGACACAAAGCUUUAAGUAUUUAUAUGGAAGUGGUUGAAAUAGUUUGUAAAUUUCAGCAAGACACAAGUUUAAGGCAUGUUGGUUUUCUAUGCAAUUUCGAAGGCGCACAAGGCAAAAAUGACAAAAUUGACAAAAAUGUCUUCCAUGAUAGGAUUUUAAAGGUUAAAAUGACAGCUUUGGGUCGCUUUUAUUAGGAGUAUGUGUACAAACGGGUACAAUAAUUUUGUUUGAAUUGCAAAACAAGUCGAGGUUUAAUCCAUGAUGAUGGUCCAUGGAUUUUGAAUUCUAAGAUUCAGAUUUUACAGGGUUGAAAUGGUUUUUUGUAAAUUGUUCUGCAGUACAUAUUGAGGCAAAACUAGACAUUGUUUUUUUUAAAUUAGAAUCUACAUCGGAAUUUAUAUUCCAUCUUCACAGGCACAAACAGCUUGAAUGGAGUUGCAGGUGCACCUGUACUUCCUUUUUCUUUUACCAGCAAAGAGAAAUGUCACAUUUUUAUUAAUAAUAGAUAUACAGUAGAUGCCUGGUGCAAGGCAUAUAUGUUACUUAGCCUCCUUCCCUAGCAAACUUCCUUGAUGGCAGCUUGGUUCUUCCAUACCAAAAUAUAAUCUGUAUUUUU